CUGGCGCACACAUGAUGUAGCCUUUUUGGUAGAUGACCAAUUAUAGUUAGCCACAUCAGCUUUUGUAAGGGAUUUGACCAAUGAGAGAGCUAGGUCACACGUAUGAGUUGUGUCAGGGAUGGGGCGAGCUGCAACACAUGUGCGGAUUUGUCUUGGACGGCGUGAACAAUGUCAUGAAUCGCGCGUUAAAGUUAACGGUUUUUUAUUUCACUUGUAACGGCUAGAAAAUGAUAAAUCUUUGCUAUCCCAUUGGCGUGUGUGUAAUAAUAACCUAAAGGAAUAAGGGACCGGAUUUAAUGUUGUAAUAGAAAUGAAAUGAUAUUAUUGCAUUUAUAUGAAAAUCUGAGGUGAGUUAUCAGUGCGGGUUCUCAAUUUUUUCUCGAUAUCUUAGCUUACUCAAAACUUUAUGCCUUUGUUAUUCAUGUAAUUUUUUUUGGUUAAUCCUCUUUUUAUGUCACGAUAGUUUAAGACAAUGACAAGUUUUUCCGGCAUAAAUUUUAAACCACUGAGAAAAAAGACUAUUAAUAUUUGAAAAGUAUAAUGCAAGUGCUUUUAAAAUAUAAAUUUAAGUACCCAAAAAAGGAGCUGUGACCCCAUAGAAGGCUAUGGUUGCACUUGUUCAAUAAGACGAUGAAAUGAUAAUAGUGGCCCAACGCGGUGUGAAGAAAUCAGAAAAUGAUGGGUUUGUGUUAAAAAGCCCAUAGAUAGUUGGGCCUUUAUGCCUAAGAAGCCCAGGAAGACAUAAGAAACUCAAAUCCCUCCGAAUUUUAAAAGUGUAAAGUGCAUCCAAAGAUAAAAGAGAAUAUUUGAACAGACAAGCUAAUCAUUAGGAGUAGCUAUGAAUUAUUUUUAGAAUCUUGGUAAGGUAAAGCAAACACAGUUCACAUAUUUAUUAGUAAGAAACAAAGAACUUAUAUAACUACCAUAUCAACAUCUUUUUCCAUUUUCUUGAGGUUCAAUAUCAACUUAUUAACAUCUAUGUUCAAUGUUCAUAUGCAUAACAGCAUGAUAGACCAUAAUGUAAUAAUUUUUCUUUUAUUUUUCAACUCUACCCAGAGAAUGCGACGAAACAGAGGACAAAAGCAUCGAAAGAAUAAAAAAGCAAAACUUGGUAAUGGUUGAUUGAAAAAAGAUAGGUGAGGUGGGCCGUAUAAUUGGAGUCCAAAAUAAAUAAUAAAUUAAAACGCUAUAAUACUUUUCUGUCUCCUCCUCCUU
This is a long non-coding RNA of Brassica rapa (field mustard), 1215 nucleotides long. RefSeq lists it as uncharacterized. The record is from RefSeq and is a predicted model, not a curated record. NCBI's taxonomy places the organism in Eukaryota, Viridiplantae, Streptophyta, Magnoliopsida, Brassicales, Brassicaceae.